AAAAAUGUGCAUUUUGUGACUGUACUAUUUAGUGUCAUUGUUUUAUAGAUACCAUAGUGAGAAAGGAUUCAUUUCGCAACACCUACGGCUUCCACUAGAUGUCAACGAUCUUUAUAAAGUUGUUUGAAGCGUCUAUGAUAAACAGAGAGCAAAUUAGAAUCCAAGGAAGUUGACAUGUCAUCACUUCAUUUUUUUGCGCCUGCGCAUAAAUCUGAGAAACGUGAGUUUGUCAUCAUUUUUUAUCUAGACAUAGGAUAGGUUGUGUGAAAAUAUUACUGAUGUUUAACGUUAAAAAUGGACCAAAAGAUUAAUGCUAAACAACAUUUGACAUGUUUGAACGAACAUAAAUAGAUUAUUUACUAGGUUUUUUUAGCUUUUCGGCGUGAUUUUACCAGCCCCACAACCACGUUUUGUGGGAGCAUAAUGAACGCUAAGUACUUGGUGUUAUUUGGACAUAAAUUAUGAACUUUGUCAAAAGAAACCACAUUUGUUCCGGACCUGGAAUGCCUUCCGGACCUGGGAUCCUGCCUUCUGAUGGAGAUAAUCAAAGAGUCCAAUCCCAUCAACAUUUGCAGUGGUAUCAACAUCAAGCUCAGCACCAGGAACUAGUGCCUCCAUUCCUACACCCUGGAGGAUUGGAGACACAUCUGAAAGUGCACUCAUCUCUUCCACUGAGUGCCUCCCAAACCCAGCACAUCCUUCAGGCACUGACACUUCUCCAAGGAGGAGGAGAAAGAGGAAGAGAGAUAAGAGAGUAGCGGGGAGAUGGCUGUGUUCCCUCCACCUAGGUAAGUGACUCACCUAGCUCCAUGGGGCCGACGGAGGUGGAUGGACGAGCAGGUGAUAAAAACGGCAGGAUGUCGCCACUGGGACCAAUGGAGGUGGAUGGACAAACGUGAUAGAAAUGGUAGGAUGUCACCACUGGAACCGAUGGAGGUGGAUGGACAAACAUGAUAAAAACGGCAGGAUGUCACCCCUGGGACUGAUGGAGGUGGAUGGACGAGCAGGUGAUAAAAAUGGUAGGAUGUCACCCCUGGGACCGAUGGAGGUGGAUGGACGAGCAGGUGAUAAAAAUGGCAGAUGUCACCCCUGCAUGCAUCCUUAGAGCCUCUUACGCAUUUCCACACAUCACAGUUCUGCAGGUAGUGUCCCACGCAGCCCUGAAACAAAACACCAGCCCAAAGAGAGGGACUAUAGUACUGCAUGUGCAAGAAACACAACAAUCUGAAAAUGUCCCUAAUUCAGCAAAAUUGCGUAAACCCACAUAUGUGAAUAGUGAUCACCAUGCCGUUGUCUGUAUGUAGAGCUGCUGGGACACCAUGGUACUAACUUCCACAACAGACCAUGGUAACGAUUGUAAGUUAAUUUGGGAUAUGUUCCUGUCAUCCAAAGACAAG
RNAcentral lists this long non-coding RNA (1397 nucleotides) under Salmo salar (Atlantic salmon). Its description in RNAcentral is "lncRNA (ENSSSAG00000117156.1, ENSSSAG00000122277.1)". Lineage: Eukaryota; Metazoa; Chordata; Actinopteri; Salmoniformes; Salmonidae. The record is from RNAcentral.